CCCAGCACGGGUGUGUGUACAGCGGGGCAAAGGCAGUGGGUAUAAAGGCAGGAGAUCAGAGAUCCAAGGACGUGGAGUUGCUGGAGGAGAUAAGCACUGGGAAAGGCUGUCAGCCAGAGAGAGUUUCCUUGGUUUUGCUCUUGGACUCGAAGUCGUUGCCUUCGGUGACUUUUUGCUCCUUAUCUCAAUUCUAAAUGUUAAACUCCUUGAGUCAACUGAUUCUAAUAUUUUAGAGUGUUGUUUCAGUGAUUUAUCAGAGCUACACAAGCCAAAAUGAGGUGUUAUUUGUAAAAGUUUGUUUGAAGCACUUAAAGGAAAAAAACCCAUUUCUGAAAACAUGAAUGAGAUUAUGUUUUGAAAAAAAUACCUCUAUGGUAAAGGAGCUGAAAUGAAAGUGUGUAAUUCUUCUGAGGGAGUUUGACAAUCAAAAGCUCUGAAAUGGCCCUUCAUGGCCCCAAAACAGUAUUCCUGCAAAUCUUUCUAUGUUAUUAAUAAGUGUUAGCAUUUCUGUUAUAUACAUUGUUGUGCAAAAUGCAUUUCUGCCAUCAGCGCCUUCAUUUAUAUGAACAUUUUUAUUGUGCUUUCAUUGUUGAUAUAUUUUCAAGUUAUUUAUUACUUGUUUAUUUAAAAUCACUUUUCUAUGUUGCCUUUAUAUUUCUUGAAUGCAUUAAAAAUACAUAUUCAAAUA
Molecule: non-coding RNA, 688 nt
Organism: Phalacrocorax carbo (great cormorant)
Lineage: Eukaryota; Metazoa; Chordata; Aves; Suliformes; Phalacrocoracidae
Source: RefSeq, a predicted model, not a curated record